This 342-nucleotide ribosomal RNA is filed under the name Triticum aestivum (bread wheat). RNAcentral's name for it is "partial small subunit ribosomal RNA". The record is from RNAcentral. Lineage: Eukaryota; Viridiplantae; Streptophyta; Magnoliopsida; Poales; Poaceae.
AUGAGCUGGUUCAUCUUGGGCGUCGUUCUUCUUGCCAGAGGCGUGCCAGCGGUGGCGGAGUUCGCCGGCGGCUGCGCGAUGCUCCGGGCCGUGUGUCGGCCUAUGGAGGUGCGCGGCGCGGCGAGGAGGCCGCGGUGGCUGCGGCGGCACGGUGAGGAGGCCACGGAGGACCUGCGUGGUGGCGGCUUCAACGAUGACGACGACGCGGCGAGCGCGUCGUGGCGGCUCGGCGCGACAACGGCGGAGGCGCGUGGCACAGAGCGGUGGCGCUCGUGUCGGAUGCGUCAGGCGCGUGUAUGGGCGCGCGCCGGGUGUGUCAGGCCCGGCGGGACCGUGGUGUAG